Molecule: ribosomal RNA, 69 nt
Filed under: Bacillus subtilis
Lineage: Bacteria; Bacillati; Bacillota; Bacilli; Caryophanales; Bacillaceae
Description: partial 16S ribosomal RNA
Rfam family: Bacterial small subunit ribosomal RNA
Source: RNAcentral
UUAUCGGAGAGUUUGAUCCUGGCUCAGGACGAACGCUGGCGGCGUGCCUAAUACAUGCAAGUCGAGCGA